RNAcentral lists this ribosomal RNA (433 nucleotides) under uncultured bacterium. RNAcentral's name for it is "partial 16S ribosomal RNA". It matches the Rfam family "Bacterial small subunit ribosomal RNA", at positions 29 to 507 of the family's 1533-position model. The record is from RNAcentral.
AACGAACGCUGGCGGCAUGCCUAACACAUGCAAGUCGAACGAGACCUUCGGGUCUAGUGGCGCACGGGUGCGUAACGCGUGGGAACCUGCCCUUAGGUUCGGAAUAACUCCCCGAAAGGGGUGCUAAUACCGGAUAAUGUCUUCGGACCAAAGAUUUAUCGCCUUGGGAUGGGCCCGCGUUGGAUUAGCUAGUUGGUAGGGUAAAAGCCUACCAAGGCGACGAUCCAUAGCUGGUCUGAGAGGAUGAUCAGCCACACUGGGACUGAGACACGGCCCAGACUCCUACGGGAGGCAGCAGUGGGGAAUAUUGGACAAUGGGCGAAAGCCUGAUCCAGCAAUGCCGCGUGAGUGAUGAAGGCCUUAGUGUUGUAAAGCUCUUUUACCCGGGAUGAUAAUGACAGUACCGGGAGAAUAAGCACCGGCUAACUCCGUG